RNAcentral lists this ribosomal RNA (707 nucleotides) under Nostoc sp. 12.13. RNAcentral describes it as "bacterial SSU rRNA". It matches the Rfam family "Bacterial small subunit ribosomal RNA", at positions 38 to 785 of the family's 1533-position model. Lineage: Bacteria; Bacillati; Cyanobacteriota; Cyanophyceae; Nostocales; Nostocaceae. The record is from RNAcentral.
GGCGGUAUGCUUAACACAUGCAAGUCGAACGGAAUCUUUCGGGAUUUAGUGGCGGACGGGUGAGUAACGCGUGAGAAUCUGGCUUCAGGUCUGGGACAACCACUGGAAACGGUGGCUAAUACCGGAUGUGCCCUUAGGGGUGAAAGAUUAAUUGCCUGAAGAUGAGCUCGCGUCUGAUUAGCUAGUUGGAAGUGUAAUGGACUCCCAAGGCGACGAUCAGUAGCUGGUCUGAGAGGACGAUCAGCCACACUGGGACUGAGACACGGCCCAGACUCCUACGGGAGGCAGCAGUGGGGAAUUUUCCGCAAUGGGCGAAAGCCUGACGGAGCAAUACCGCGUGAGGGAGGAAGGCUCUUGGGUCGUAAACCUCUUUUCUCAGGGAAGAACACAAUGACGGUACCUGAGGAAUAAGCAUCGGCUAACUCCGUGCCAGCAGCCGCGGUAAUACGGAGGAUGCAAGCGUUAUCCGGAAUGAUUGGGCGUAAAGCGUCCGCAGGUGGCAAUGUAAGUCUGCUGUUAAAGAGUCUAGCUCAACUAGAUACAAGCAGUGGAAACUACAUAGCUAGAGUACGUUCGGGGCAGAGGGAAUUCCUGGUGUAGCGGUGAAAUGCGUAGAGAUCAGGAAGAACACCAGUGGCGAAGGCGCUCUGCUAGGCCGUAACUGACACUGAGGGACGAAAGCUAGGGGAGCGAAUGGGAUUAGAUAC